GGAUUCUAAACUAAACUAUUCUUCG
RNAcentral lists this transfer RNA (25 nucleotides) under Atherinosoma elongatum. RNAcentral's name for it is "partial tRNA-Pro". The record is from RNAcentral. Lineage: Eukaryota; Metazoa; Chordata; Actinopteri; Atheriniformes; Atherinidae.